This 20-nucleotide small nuclear RNA is filed under the name Arabidopsis thaliana (thale cress). RNAcentral describes it as "snRNA_03646". The record is from RNAcentral. Lineage: Eukaryota; Viridiplantae; Streptophyta; Magnoliopsida; Brassicales; Brassicaceae.
ACCCUCCAAAAAUAGGCGUA